CCUACGGGCGGCUGCAGUGGGGAAUAUUGGACAAUGGGCGAAAACCUGAUCCAGCCAUGCCGCGUGUGUGAAGAAGGCCUUCGGGUUGUAAAGCACUUUCAGUGGGGAAGAAAGCCUUGGGGCUAAUACCCUCGAGGAAGGACAUCACCCACAGAAGAAGCACCGGCUAACUCCGUGCCAGCAGCCGCGGUAAUACGGAGGGUGCGAGCGUUAAUCGGAAUUACUGGGCGUAAAGCGCGCGUAGGCGGUCUGAUAAGCCGGUUGUGAAAGCCCCGGGCUCAACCUGGGAACGGCAUCCGGAACUGUCAGGCUAGAGUGCAGGAGAGGAAGGUAGAAUUCCCGGUGUAGCGGUGAAAUGCGUAGAGAUCGGGAGGAAUACCAGUGGCGAAGGCGGCCUUCUGGACUGACACUGACGCUGAGGUGCGAAAGCGUGGGUAGCAAACAGGAUUAGAUACCCUGGUAGUC
RNAcentral lists this ribosomal RNA (465 nucleotides) under Vreelandella stevensii. RNAcentral's name for it is "partial 16S ribosomal RNA". It matches the Rfam family "Bacterial small subunit ribosomal RNA", at positions 338 to 795 of the family's 1533-position model. Lineage: Bacteria; Pseudomonadati; Pseudomonadota; Gammaproteobacteria; Oceanospirillales; Halomonadaceae. The record is from RNAcentral.